Kogia breviceps (pygmy sperm whale) is the source of this 1042-nucleotide non-coding RNA. Lineage: Eukaryota; Metazoa; Chordata; Mammalia; Artiodactyla; Physeteridae. The record is from RefSeq and is a predicted model, not a curated record.
GCUACGCACUGGUCCGCCCGCCCCCCUGCCGGGUCUUCUGGAGCUGAGGACUCGGGGAACCAUGGAAUUGAGGCGAGCCUUGGGCUGCUUUAGAGGCGCUGACAUCCAAGGAGACUUCUCCUGGGAGUGAAUGAACAAUGUUUGGGAGAAGCAGAAGAGCAGGGCAUAGAGUAGCCAGGCGGGGCCAGGCGCUGGGAGGGGUCCAGCUCUGAGGCCUCCCCACACCUAUCUUCUUGGAAGGAACUGGAUGUCGCUGAAGGAAAGUUGAAAAAUGAAAAAGAAUAACCUUUUCCCUUUCCCCAUCCAGGAAAUAGCCGAAGGAGGCCCAACAGCCAAGCUGAGCCCACCCGGCUCAAGAGAACACCCGACGGAGGGGGGUGGCUAAGGCUGCCCUGGAAGGCCAAGUGCGAGUUGCAGUUUUUGAAGAGUGCAAGACGGGCAUGGCUGUGACAUUGGCCCCAGAGACUGGUUUCCCAUGAGUUGUUCUUUCUCAGGAGCUCCACAGUGUGAGGCCAUCUCCAGAAAACAGUCUUCAGUGUGUAUUUCCUUUUAUCGUCAACCCGGAGCCCCACGGCAGCUAAUGCAAGAGGCCAAAAAUGUUUUGGAGGAAGAAAAACAAAGGCAGGAAGUGGCGGCGGCUUGACGGUGCGUGCGUGUCUGCGGAGAAGGGAGGGAGCCAUUUCAAUCUCUUCUUGUUUUUCCAAACUUCAGGGUUCAGGCAGCCCUCGCAGGGCCGGCCCGUUGCUCCCCGCGCAGCAUUUGGAGAUGGCCACCCGGAGAGGAGAAGGCUGGCGCCGGAGCCAGCCUUGUCAGGCGGAAACGGCUAACGAGGCGAUUUGCUCAGCAAAGCAGACCAAGCCUUUCCAAACUUCAUUUGAUUUGGCCCUAAAAGUGGGGGGUUGGGGGAUUCUGCAACACCUCCCGUACCCUCCUUGGCGGGCGGGCUGAGUGCUCCGUGGCGGGGAUUCGGGAGCCGUGCACUCCACGCGCCUUCCCAGGCGGGAUAUGGGAAUAAAGUGUGUCCAGAUGCCUCUGCCCAGCA